Long non-coding RNA from Canis lupus familiaris (dog), 773 nucleotides. RefSeq lists it as uncharacterized. The transcript is spliced from 3 exons. Lineage: Eukaryota; Metazoa; Chordata; Mammalia; Carnivora; Canidae. The record is from RefSeq and is a predicted model, not a curated record.
CCCCCAGCGCCCCGGAGCCGCGGCUCCCCGCUCCUUCCCCACCCAGCGGCCCUCCGAGCUCUCUGGGGAUAAAGGCCCAAUCCUUGCCAGGCCCCAGGCCCUUCGGAUCUCGGCCCUGCGGUGACGCCUGUGGCCUCGAAUUUCCCGCCAGCUCCCCCGGCCUUUGGCCACCUGCUCCCUCCAGCCCCAGGCCUCUACCCUGGCCUGUGACCUCUGCUCAGCCUGCCCUUCCCGCUGCUCCUCCUCCCGCUGCUCCUGGCUUGCUCUGGCUGACCCUCCAGACCCUGCCGGCGUAGGGUUAAGUAAGGUUGCACUGGGGGCUUGCGCAGAGCCUGGGCAUCUUCCUUUUGCCCAGCCCUGGCCACCUUACCCUGGGCUGCUGGCCUGCUUGUAUACACCCCAUGAUCUUUCAUCUCUAUCUCCCCAAGCAGAGAGCCUGGUACACGUCACUCAUUCAUAAAUUUAUUCAACAAGCAUCAACCAAGUACCAGUGUGGAGUGGGCCCUGGAGAUCUAGAGAUAGAGCAGCCCCAGCAGAGCUUCGCCUGGCUCAGCCCAGCAUGCAAACCUGAACUCAGUGCAGGAAUGGGGGCCGCAAAACCUCAGUGGUGUGAGCUGCACCAGUGACCUUGUCGCCAACAGUAACCCAGAUAGUUUCCAAUCACAUCGCGACAGAAGCAGAGAUCCCUACGUAUCAUUUACACUCACUGCUACUUCAAAAUGAUGAGUGGUAGACUUGCAGCCUGGGGCUCACUAAUGUGGUAAUAAAUACAC